CCUACGGGUGGCAGCAGUGAGGAAUAUUGGUCAAUGGGCGCGAGCCUGAACCAGCAAAGUAGCGUGAAGGAAGACUGCCCUACGGGUUGUAAACUUCUUUUAGAAAGGAAUGCAGUGAGGCAUAUGUGCCUUUUAGUAUGUACUUUAUGAAUAAGGAUCGGCUAACUCCGUGCGAGCAGCCGAGGUAAUACGUAGGAUGCGAGCGUGAUCCGGAUUUAUUGGGUUUAAAGGGAGCGUAGAUGGGUUGUUAAGUCAGUUGUGAAAGUUUGUGGCUCAACCGUGAAACUGCAAUUGAUACUGGCAGCCUUGAGUACAGUUGAGGUAGGCGGAAUUCGUGGUGUAGCGGUGAAAUGCUUAGAUAUCACGAAGAACUCCGAUUGCGAAGGCAGCCUACUAAACUGCCACUGACAUUGAGGCUCGAAAGUGUGGGUAUCAAACAGGAUUAGAUACCCGAGUAGUC
This 460-nucleotide ribosomal RNA is filed under the name uncultured bacterium. Its description in RNAcentral is "partial 16S ribosomal RNA". It matches the Rfam family "Bacterial small subunit ribosomal RNA", at positions 338 to 795 of the family's 1533-position model. The record is from RNAcentral.